Danio rerio (zebrafish) is the source of this 1832-nucleotide non-coding RNA. Lineage: Eukaryota; Metazoa; Chordata; Actinopteri; Cypriniformes; Danionidae. The record is from RefSeq and is a predicted model, not a curated record.
GGAGCUUGACAGCCUCUUGAAGUAGUUUUGGACUGAGAAGACUGAUCCUGAUGGCAGAAUGAAUGAGACAGCAGGCGUUUUUUAACUUCAUCAUGGACUAUUUGCUCUAUAUUGACCCAAGUAACCUGGAGAGUGACGCAUCCCUAUUGAAGGCGGAAGGAGUUAGACUGGCUGUGUGGACAGCUCUGUGUGCCAGACAGCUACCUGAGACAAAAGAAGAUUUACAUCAAAGAAAGGCACAAAAUUUUGCAAAACAGGGAACGUAUGAGACUUCAAAAUUUAGGUACAAAAAAAUCGUCAAAGGUUUACAUGUUUUGUGUAUUUGGUGUGAUUGUGUGUUGGGGCGUUCUGAGAGGUCUUGAGUUUUUUUUUUUUUUUUAAUUUAUUUUUUUUUUUUUUAAACAUUUAAAAUAUUUCGAAUUGAGAAAACGACAAGCUGAGGGUGUGUUGUGUUUUUCAGGGGUUCUGAGCAGCACUAGUACACUGAAAAGUGUUUAAUGCUGAACUGUUGCAAACAAUUUACUUGUGUUGAAUUUAAACAAACAAAUUAAACUUAAUAAUGUUCAACUUAAUUUGUCUGUUUAAAUUCGGGCUAAAUUGUUUACAACCACUUAACGUAAAAAAAGUUAAAGGAAUCAUCUUUGAAUAUAAUUUUCAGUGUAAGAAUGAAACUUAAUAAAUAUUUAUAAUUGUUCUAAAUAUUGUCUUUGUAGUUCUUCUUCUUCUCUUUUUCUUUUUAAAUCUCCAUGUAUACUUUAAACACUGGGAUACUAGUCACUGUGAAUGGUUUGGUUACCAUGAUUAACUGGGAACACUGUUGCCAGUUAAUUUGACUGUCCAGUUAACAGAGCGGUCACUAACUGGGAGCUGCUUGCUGUCAUGUACUGUAGUGUUAAUACUGCAAACACAAUUUUGUGUGUAUGUAAUUUUAUUAACAUUUUUAUCAUCAUGCUUUUUCUAUUAAAGUUUCUGUGCACUGCUGAGAGUGGAAUUGAGUAUUUAUUUAUUGUUUUUAAAAUCUGUAUUAAACUACUUUGUUGCCAGAAUGAUGCAUUGUGCAGUUUAGAUGAUCGGUCACACUUUCAUGUUUAGAUUCAGGCAGAGACUCUGUGCAAGUGUGUUUAAUGUCUAAAUCAUGGCUCACCAACCUUUUUCCAUUUAUUUAUUUAUAUAUAUAUAUCUUCGUGAGUUUUUUUUUUUUUUUUUUUUUUUUUAAUAAUAGAUGUGACUUUUUUUUUUUAUAUAUAUAUAUAUAUAUAUAUAUAUAAAUAUAUUGCAUGCCAUUAUCUCUCACACACAAAGUGUAUCUUACUGAAUUUAAAAUAAAACAAUGCCUUGACACUUGCUGUUUUUGUGAUCAGUAAUGCCAGUCGAUGAGCUGCUGGAAAAUGCAACAGUAGAAGUACAUAAAUGUAUCUUCAUGUUAAAUUAAAAUCUUUUCUGUAAUUUGCAAGAUCAAAACAAACAACAACACCACACCCAGAGCAAAUCAGAACGAAGCAACCUUGACCAUUCAUGACACCCAUAGAAGCCUUAGAGAAGCAUCAGAUGCCUUUACAAAAACAGACAUUCCUGCUGCGCAGACAAAGCUGGCUGCUCUAAAGUCGAUCAUUGCAGACCAGAAGCAAAGAAGUUGAGCUGGAUGGCCUCCUGGAGCCAUUUUGACCUGAGCAAUCAGAUCCCAUGGAGAGGGUGAAUCAAAGGCAGCAUAUGUGGAGUGGAGAGUAAGCCUUAUACAGAUGAACCUGUUUGACAACCUAAGAAUUUCUCAAUCAAAGUCAAGAUCACUUGUUAAUAUUAAUAAUAAAAUAAAAACUAAACUCCUGACAGUA